GAGGGUACAGCUCAGUGGUAGAGUGCGUGCUUAGCAUGCACGAGGUCCUGGGUUCAAUCCCUAGUGCCUUUG
This 72-nucleotide transfer RNA is filed under the name Camelus bactrianus (Bactrian camel). It matches the Rfam family "tRNA". From Rfam's summary of the family: Transfer RNA (tRNA) molecules are approximately 80 nucleotides in length. Their secondary structure includes four short double-helical elements and three loops (D, anti-codon, and T loops). Further hydrogen bonds mediate the characteristic L-shaped molecular structure. tRNAs have two regions of fundamental functional importance: the anti-codon, which is responsible for specific mRNA codon recognition, and the 3' end, to which the tRNAs corresponding amino acid is attached (by aminoacyl-tRNA synthetases). tRNAs cope with the degeneracy of the genetic code in two manners: having more than one tRNA (with a specific anti-codon) for a particular amino acid; and 'wobble' base-pairing, i.e. permitting non-standard base-pairing at the 3rd anti-codon position. RNAcentral also lists the same sequence under 3 other names. Lineage: Eukaryota; Metazoa; Chordata; Mammalia; Artiodactyla; Camelidae. The record is from Rfam by way of RNAcentral.